AGUGAACGCUGGCGGUAGGCCUAACACAUGCAAGUCGAACGGCAGCACAGUAAGAGCUUGCUCUUACGGGUGGCGAGUGGCGGACGGGUGAGGAAUACAUCGGAAUCUACUUUUUCGUGGGGGAUAACGUAGGGAAACUUACGCUAAUACCGCAUACGACCUACGGGUGAAAGCAGGGGAUCUUCGGACCUUGCGCGAUUGAAUGAGCCGAUGUCGGAUUAGCUAGUUGGCGGGGUAAAGGCCCACCAAGGCGACGAUCCGUAGCUGGUCUGAGAGGAUGAUCAGCCACACUGGAACUGAGACACGGUCCAGACUCCUACGGGAGGCAGCAGUGGGGAAUAUUGGACAAAGGGCGCAAGCCUGAUCCAGCCAUACCGCGUGGGUGAAGAAGGCCUUCGGGUUGUAAAGCCCUUUUGUUGGGAAAGAAAAACAGCAGGUUAAUACCCCGCUGUUCCGACGGUACCCAAAGAAUAAGCACCGGCUAACUUCGUG
This 492-nucleotide ribosomal RNA is filed under the name uncultured bacterium. RNAcentral describes it as "partial 16S ribosomal RNA". It matches the Rfam family "Bacterial small subunit ribosomal RNA", at positions 29 to 507 of the family's 1533-position model. The record is from RNAcentral.